AUGGGAUCAGCAGACUUUACAGAAAGCGAUGUUUUAAUUAGAGAUUCUCUGCAAACACCGCCAGGCAACAUCUUCUCCCUUCAUUAUCUCCCCUUAAAGGGCUGCUGCUGCUUUUCAGGUCGGAGUCACUCCCGAGCCUCUCCUGCUCCGGGUGAUGCCCCAGUUCACCUUCGCCUGCUUCUGUGGCCUCCACGGCUUCUGCAAGAUGAAGAGGAAGAAGGAACAGGCCAGCGGGGGGCAGGAGACGGCCGUGUGAGGAUCAGCCCCCGCCCGGGACCCCCUCCUGUCCCCUCGAUUCUCUCCCGCAUCCCGUGGAUUCUCUCCUCAUUUCCCGUCCCUCCCUGUCCCCAGGAAGCCGGGGAAGAGCCGAAGUGUCCCUGCCCACGAUGUCCCUGCCCGUCCCGCUGCGAGCGAGAAUUCCCCCCCUGCUCCAGCAAUUCCCAGCAGAGAAACCGGGAAAAGCUCCAAAAUCCGGGCCAAGCCUCGUCCUUGCCGGAAUCCAGAGCUGGGCAGCGCCUCUGGCACGGCCAGAAGCAGCCGGACCUGAGCGCUGCUGGAGCAGAUGAAUCCCGCUGAUGGCAGUGGGAAUGAGGCGUCUAUCCAAGGAAAAUUCCAAGGGUUUUCCGUCCUCUGGAGCGGGAGGCGAGCGGUGAAGCCGAAGCCGGAGCCGUGUUCUGGCUGCUCCCGGAUUUC
This is a long non-coding RNA of Cyanistes caeruleus (blue tit), 693 nucleotides long. The record is from Ensembl. Lineage: Eukaryota; Metazoa; Chordata; Aves; Passeriformes; Paridae.